Molecule: non-coding RNA, 73 nt
Organism: Dryococelus australis
Lineage: Eukaryota; Metazoa; Arthropoda; Insecta; Phasmatodea; Phasmatidae
Source: the annotation of a GenBank genome assembly
GACCUCGUGGCCUAAUGGAUAAGGCGCCAGACUUCAGAUCCGAAGAUUGCCAGUUCGAAUCCUGUCGCGGUCG